Molecule: transfer RNA, 123 nt
Filed under: Naumovozyma castellii
Lineage: Eukaryota; Fungi; Ascomycota; Saccharomycetes; Saccharomycetales; Saccharomycetaceae
Description: tRNA-Lys
Rfam family: tRNA
About the family: Transfer RNA (tRNA) molecules are approximately 80 nucleotides in length. Their secondary structure includes four short double-helical elements and three loops (D, anti-codon, and T loops).
Source: RNAcentral
UCCUUGUUAGCUCAGUUGGUAGAGCGUUCGGCUUUUAAACAAGAAUUGGUCAAACAAUCAGUUUAUCAUACAGUUUAAGCAAGGGAUACCGAAAUGUCAGGGGUUCGACCCCCCUACGAGGAG